RNAcentral lists this ribosomal RNA (2930 nucleotides) under Paenibacillus borealis. RNAcentral's name for it is "bacterial LSU rRNA". It matches the Rfam family "Bacterial large subunit ribosomal RNA". Lineage: Bacteria; Bacillati; Bacillota; Bacilli; Caryophanales; Paenibacillaceae. The record is from RNAcentral.
UUGGUUAAGCUAAUAAGAGCACACGGAGGAUGCCUAGGCGCCAGGAGCCGACGAAGGACGUGGCGAACAACGAAACUGCCUCGGGGAGCUGUAAGCAAGCUUUGAUCCGGGGGUGUCCGAAUGGGGAAACCCAGCUGUGGUAAUUCGCAGUUACUCGUAUCUGAAUACAUAGGAUACGCAGAGGCAGACCAGGGGAACUGAAACAUCUAAGUACCCUGAGGAAGAGAAAACAAUAGUGAUUCCGUCAGUAGCGGCGAGCGAACGCGGAACAGCCUAAACCAAGGGGCUUGCCUCUUGGGGUUGUGGGACGUCUCACAUGGAGUUACAAAGGAAUAUGGUAGGUGAAGAGGUCUGGAAAGGCCCGCGAUAGAGGUAAAAGCCCUGUAGCCUAAACUGUGUUCUCUCCGAGACGGAUCCCGAGUAGUGCGGGGCACGUGAAACCCCGUAUGAAUCCAGCAGGACCAUCUGCUAAGGCUAAAUACUACCUGGCGACCGAUAGUGAAACAGUACCGUGAGGGAAAGGUGAAAAGCACCCCGGAAGGGGAGUGAAAUAGAACCUGAAACCGUGUGCUUACAAAAAGUCAGAGCCCGAUCUAUGGGUGAUGGCGUGCCUUUUGUAGAAUGAACCGGCGAGUUACGUUUAACAUGCAAGGUUAAGGUGAGAAGCCGGAGCCGCAGCGAAAGCGAGUCUGAAUAGGGCGACUGAGUAUGUGGACGUAGACCCGAAACCGUGUGAUCUACCCCUGUCCAGGGUGAAGGUGCGGUAACACGCACUGGAGGCCCGAACCCACGCAUGUUGAAAAAUGCGGGGAUGAGGUGGGGGUAGCGGAGAAAUUCCAAUCGAACUCGGAGAUAGCUGGUUCUCCCCGAAAUAGCUUUAGGGCUAGCCUCGGUGAAUGGAGUGGUGGAGGUAGAGCACUGAUUGGGUGCGGGGCCCGCAAGGGUUACCAAGCUCAGUCAAACUCCGAAUGCCAUUAACUUCUUGCCGGGAGUCAGACAGUGAGUGCUAAGAUCCAUUGUCAAAAGGGAAACAGCCCAGACCAUCAGCUAAGGUCCCCAAGUGUGUGUUAAGUGGGAAAGGAUGUGGAGUUGCACAGACAACCAGGAUGUUGGCUUAGAAGCAGCCACCAUUGAAAGAGUGCGUAAUAGCUCACUGGUCGAGUGACUCUGCGCCGAAAAUGUAACGGGGCUAAACACACCACCGAAGCUAUGGCUAGAUGCUUUGCAUCUGGGGUAGGGGAGCGUUGUAUGUGGGUUGAAGGUGUACCGUAAGGAGCGCUGGACAGCAUACAAGUGAGAAUGCCGGUAUGAGUAACGAAAAGAUCAGUGAGAAUCUGAUCCGCCGAAAGCCCAAGGUUUCCUGAGGAAGGCUCGUCCGCUCAGGGUAAGUCGGGACCUAAGGCGAGGCCGAAAGGCGUAGUCGAAGGACAACAGUUUGAAAUUACUGUACCACCGUAAUCCGCUAUGAGCGAUGGGGUGACGCAGGAGGGUAGUGACGCGGACUGAUGGAUGUCCGUCUAAGCAGUGAGGCUGGUGUGUAGGCAAAUCCGCACACCGUAAGGCUGGGCUGUGAUGGGGAGCGAAAAUUGUAGUAGCGAAGGUCAUGAUCUCACACUGCCAAGAAAAGCCUCUAGCCAGGAGAAGGUGCCCGUACCGCAAACCGACACAGGUAGGCGAGAAGAGAAUUCUAAGGCGCGCGGAAGAACUCUCGUUAAGGAACUCGGCAAAAUGACCUCGUAACUUCGGGAGAAGAGGUGCCUCGGUAGGGUGAAUAGCCCGAGGGGGCCGCAGUGAAAAGGCCCAAGCGACUGUUUAGCAAAAACACAGGUCUGUGCGAAGCCGCAAGGCGAAGUAUACGGGCUGACGCCUGCCCGGUGCUGGAAGGUUAAGGGGAGUGGUUAGGGGUUAAACCCGAAGCUGUGAACCGAAGCCCCAGUAAACGGCGGCCGUAACUAUAACGGUCCUAAGGUAGCGAAAUUCCUUGUCAGGUAAAUUCUGACCCGCACGAAUGGCGUAACGACUUGGGCGCUGUCUCAACGAGAGAUCCGGUGAAAUUUUAAUACCUGUGAAGAUGCAGGUUACCCGCGACAAGACGGAAAGACCCCAUGGAGCUUUACUGCAGCUUGAUAUUGAAUUUGGGUACGAUCUGUACAGGAUAGGUGGGAGCCGUUGAGGCAGGAGCGCAAGCUUCUGCGGAGGCGCCGUUGGGAUACCACCCUGAUCGUAUCUAGGUUCUAACCUAGUACCCUAAGCGGGUACGGGGACCGUGUCAGGCGGGCAGUUUGACUGGGGCGGUCGCCUCCUAAAGAGUAACGGAGGCGUUCAAAGGUUCCCUCAGAAUGGUUGGAAAUCAUUCGCAGAGUGCAAAGGCAUAAGGGAGCUUGACUGCGAGACCUACAAGUCGAGCAGGGACGAAAGUCGGACUUAGUGAUCCGGUGGUACCGCAUGGAAGGGCCAUCGCUCAACGGAUAAAAGCUACCCUGGGGAUAACAGGCUUAUCUCCCCCAAGAGUCCACAUCGACGGGGAGGUUUGGCACCUCGAUGUCGGCUCAUCGCAUCCUGGGGCUGAAGUAGGUCCCAAGGGUUGGGCUGUUCGCCCAUUAAAGCGGUACGCGAGCUGGGUUCAGAACGUCGUGAGACAGUUCGGUCCCUAUCUGUCGUGGGCGCAGGAAAUUUGAGAGGAGCUGUCCUUAGUACGAGAGGACCGGGAUGGACGUACCGCUGGUGCAUCAGUUGUUCCGCCAGGAGCAUGGCUGAGUAGCUACGUACGGACGGGAUAAGCGCUGAAAGCAUCUAAGCGUGAAGCCCCCCUCAAGAUGAGAUUUCCCAAUUAGUAAGACCCCUUGAAGACGACGAGGUAGAUAGGUUGGAGGUGGAAGUGCAGCAAUGCAUGGAGCUGACCAAUACUAAUCGGUCGAGGGCUUAUCCAA